Long non-coding RNA from Tachysurus fulvidraco (yellow catfish), 740 nucleotides. RefSeq lists it as uncharacterized. The record is from RefSeq and is a predicted model, not a curated record. Lineage: Eukaryota; Metazoa; Chordata; Actinopteri; Siluriformes; Bagridae. The transcript has 3 exons.
CAGCAGCAGCAGCAGCAUCAUCCUCGUCGUGACUCAAUUCCGCAGCUCAGCCAAUACCACGUGGGCUCGCGAGCUUCAGUCAGUAAACAUCAGGACAUACCUCUUGUGGAUGAUAAGGGGCCCAGAGAGUCGUUUCUGCUGGAUUACAACCACAAAGACACAAUCCAUCAAUCACAUGGGAUUCCCUUAGCAUACCACCAUAGAGGACUGUUUCACUGGCAUACAGGUAAGGGAUUAUUCAUUGUGGCAUCACAAAACUUUUGCUAAUUGCAGUGAUUAAUUGUGUUCACUUUAAAUUGUUCUCUUCAGGUUGAAUCUGGGAGGGUUAUAAAAUGUAUUUAUCAAUAUUCAUUAUUUAACUUAAUUUAUUUAUUUAACAAUAGGCUGUUUUUUCAAGUUGGUUGUUACACAAAACCGGAACUCAAAUUUAACAACAGUUCUUAAAAGAAGCUCCUAGCUGAAUACAGUGACUAGGGUUUGGUAUAAAUGAAAAAUAUGAGACAAUCAUAGUAAUGUAAAUAAUAGGAUAAGGCUUUGAAACCUCCCUUACUUCGUGCCAAGCUGUUCAAGACCCCUUUUACAUGAGGUAUCCUCAUCAGAGAAAGGGACAGUCUACUGAUCAUGAUUUUUGAGUCAGAGGUAAAUAAAAGUCAGUGCAAGUCUCUUUCUGUUCGCAUCCUCUGCUGUAUUCUCUACAGCCAUGUUAAUUAAAUGUGCUCUCUCUCUCCCCUUCUUACACA